CCUACGGCGGCUGCAGUGGGGAAUAUUGGACAAUGGGCGAAAGCCUGAUCCAGCCAUGCCGCGUGUGUGAAGAAGGCCUUCGGGUUGUAAAGCACUUUCAGUGGGGAAGAAAGCCUUGGGGCUAAUACCCUCGAGGAAGGACAUCACCCACAGAAGAAGCACCGGCUAACUCCGUGCCAGCAGCCGCGGUAAUACGGAGGGUGCGAGCGUUAAUCGGAAUUACUGGGCGUAAAGCGCGCGUAGGCGGUCUGAUAAGCCGGUUGUGAAAGCCCCGGGCUCAACCUGGGAACGGCAUCCGGAACUGUCAGGCUAGAGUGCAGGAGAGGAAGGUAGAAUUCCCGGUGUAGCGGUGAAAUGCGUAGAGAUCGGGAGGAAUACCAGUGGCGAAGGCGGCCUUCUGGACUGACACUGACGCUGAGGUGCGAAAGCGUGGGUAGCAAACAGGAUUAGAUACCCCGGUAGUC
This 464-nucleotide ribosomal RNA is filed under the name Vreelandella stevensii. RNAcentral's name for it is "partial 16S ribosomal RNA". It matches the Rfam family "Bacterial small subunit ribosomal RNA", at positions 338 to 795 of the family's 1533-position model. The record is from RNAcentral. Lineage: Bacteria; Pseudomonadati; Pseudomonadota; Gammaproteobacteria; Oceanospirillales; Halomonadaceae.